This 253-nucleotide ribosomal RNA is filed under the name uncultured bacterium. RNAcentral describes it as "partial 16S ribosomal RNA". It matches the Rfam family "Bacterial small subunit ribosomal RNA", at positions 524 to 776 of the family's 1533-position model. The record is from RNAcentral.
UACGUAGGGUCCGAGCGUUGUCCGGAAUUACUGGGCGUAAAGAGCUCGUAGGUGGUUUGUCGCGUUGUUCGUGAAAACUCACAGCUCAACUGUGGGCGUGCGGGCGAUACGGGCAGACUGGAGUACUGCAGGGGAGACUGGAAUUCCUGGUGUAGCGGUGGAAUGCGCAGAUAUCAGGAGGAACACCGGUGGCGAAGGCGGGUCUCUGGGCCGGAACUGACGCUAAGGAGCGAAAGCGUGGGGAGCGAACAGG